RNAcentral lists this ribosomal RNA (475 nucleotides) under uncultured Glomus. RNAcentral's name for it is "SSU rRNA". It matches the Rfam family "Eukaryotic small subunit ribosomal RNA", at positions 569 to 1050 of the family's 1831-position model. The record is from RNAcentral. Lineage: Eukaryota; Fungi; Glomeromycota; Glomeromycetes; Glomerales; Glomeraceae.
AGCAGCCGCGGUAAUUCCAGCUCCAAUAGCGUAUAUUAAAGUUGUUGCAGUUAAAAAGCUCGUAGUUGAAUUUCGAGAUCAAAUUGUUGGUCGUGCCUCGGUACGUACUGGCAUUAUUGAUUUCUCCCUUCUGAAGAACCUUGAUGUCAUUAAUUUGGUGUCUUGGGGAAUCAGGACCGUUACUUUGAAAAAUUAGAGUGUUUAAAGCAGGCUCACGCUUGAAUACAUUAGCAUGGAAUAAUGAAAUAGGACGUUUGAUUCUAUUUUGUUGGUUUCUAGGAUCGACGUAAUGAUUAAUAGGGAUAGUUGGGGGCAUUAGUAUUCAAUUGUCAGAGGUGAAAUUCUUGGAUUUAUUGAAGACUAACUACUGCGAAAGCAUUUGCCAAGGAUGUUUUCAUUAAUCAAGAACGAAAGUUAGGGGAUCGAAGACGAUCAGAUACCGUCGUAGUCUUAACCAUAAACUAUGCCGACUAGG